AACGUACGCUGGCGGCACGCCUAACACAUGCAAGUCGAACGAAGUAGCAAUACUUAGUGGCAGACGGGUGAGUAACAUGUAGGUAUCUACCCUUUGGCCUGGAAUAACACGAGGAAACUUGUGCUAAUACCGGAUAAGUCUUUACGGAGAAAGCUUUAUGCACCAUUGGAUGAGCCUGCACUUGAUUAGUUUGUUGGUGGGGUAAUGGCCUACCAAGACUGUGAUCAAUAGCUGAUUUGAGAGGAUGAUCAGCCACAUUGGGACUGAGACACGGCCCAAACUCCUACGGGAGGCAGCAGUGGGGAAUCUUGCACAAUGGAGGAAACUCUGAUGCAGCGAUGCCGCGUGAGUGAAGAAGGCCCUUGGGUUGUAAAGCUCUUUCGUCGGGGAAGAAAAUGACUGUACCCGAAUAAGAAGGUCCGGCUAACUUCGUGCCAGCAGCCGCGGUAAUACGAAGGGACCUAGCGUAGUUCGGAAUUACUGGGCUUAAAGAGUUCGUAGGUGGUUGAAAAAGUUAGUGGUGAAAUCCCAGAGCUUAACUCUGGAACUGCCAUUAAAACUUUUCAGCUAGAGUAUGAUAGAGGAAAGCAGAAUUUCUAGUGUAGAGGUGAAAUUCGUAGAUAUUAGAAAGAAUACCAAUUGCGAAGGCAGCUUUCUGGAUCAUUACUGACACUGAGGAACGAAAGCAUGGGUAGCGAAGAGGAUUAGAUACCCUCGUAGUCCAUGCCGUAAACGAUGUGUGUUAGACGUUGGAAAUUUAUUUUCAGUGUCGCAGGGAAACCGAUAAACACACCGCCUGGGGAGUACGACCGCAAGGUUAAAACUCAAAUGAAUUGACGGGGACCCGCACAAGUAGUGGAGCAUGUGGUUUAAUUCGAAGAUACGCGCAGAACCUUACCAACACUUGACAUGUUCGUCGCGACUUUAAGAGAUUAAAGUUUUCGGUUCGGCCGGACGAAACACAGGUGCUGCAUGGCUGUCGUCAGCUCGUGUCGUGAGAUGUUGGGUUAAGUCCCGCAACGAGCGCAACCCUCACUUUUAGUUGCCAUCAUUAAGUUGGGCACUCUGAAAGAACUGCCAGUGAUAAGCUGGAGGAAGGUGGGGAUGACGUCAAGUCCUCAUGGCCCUUACGUGUUGGGCUACACACGUGCUACAAUGGUAUCUACAACAGGAAGCAAGACUGCGAAGUUAAGCAAAUCCCUAAAAGAUACCUCAGUUCGGAUUGCACUCUGCAACUCGAGUGCAUGAAGCUGGAAUUACUAGUAAUCGUGGAUCAGCGUGCCACGGUGAAUGCGUUCCCGGGUCU
Molecule: ribosomal RNA, 1306 nt
Filed under: uncultured bacterium
Lineage: Bacteria
Description: bacterial SSU rRNA
Rfam family: Bacterial small subunit ribosomal RNA
Source: RNAcentral